RNAcentral lists this unclassified non-coding RNA (376 nucleotides) under uncultured Acidobacteriota bacterium. RNAcentral describes it as "uncultured Acidobacteria bacterium contains 16S-23S intergenic spacer region". Lineage: Bacteria; Pseudomonadati; Acidobacteriota. The record is from RNAcentral.
UCCGGCUUAUCACCGGCAGUUCCUCUAGGGUGCCCAACUAAAUGAUGGCAACUAAAGGCGAGGGUUGCGCUCGUUGCGGGACUUAACCCAACAUCUCACGACACGAGCUGACGACAGCCAUGCAGCACCUCUACACAGUCCUCCGAAGAGGGGCUCUCAUCUCUGAGACUUUCCUGUGCAGUUCGAGCCCAGGUAAGGUUCUUCGCGUUGCGUCGAAUUGAACCACAUGCUCCACCGCUUGUGCGGGCCCCCGUCAAUUCCUUUGAGUUUCAGCCUUGCGACUGUACUCCCCAGGCGGCAUAUUUAACGCGUUAGCUCCGGCACGGACAGAAUGAACUGCCCACACCAAAUAUGCAUCGUUUAGGGCGUGGACUAC